UGAGAAGCAAAAUGAUGGAUAUUAUUGGUUGGAGCCCUAAAGAGGCAAUAUGAAUGUAUAUGAAUGACUGUAUGUGCGCGCACUUGUGCCUGGAUGUAUGACUGGAGUAUGAAUGAGGAUAAGGACCUAGUUAUUUGCCUUUUUUUAUAGGGCCAUGAUAUUCAAACUGAUAAGAUCUGAUUGCUUC
Molecule: small nucleolar RNA, 187 nt
Organism: Monodelphis domestica (gray short-tailed opossum)
Lineage: Eukaryota; Metazoa; Chordata; Mammalia; Didelphimorphia; Didelphidae
Source: Ensembl